CAAAUUAGUGAAAGUUAAGGGCAGGUACAGCAGGUACAUCCCUGCUGGGGAAAAACACAAUAGAAACAAUAGAAUGUGUAAUGGCUUUAAUGCAUAUAAUGGGAAUUGUAUUGGUUUUAAUUUAAACUGUCAUGGUCUCUGUGGGUCUUUACAGGAAUUUUUUUGCCUUCUAUUACUGUCAUAUUAUCUCUAGUGGAUACCAUUAAGAAUGUUGGAUACAUUUUUAUUUAAAUUUUUAAAACAUUUAUUUAAAUAUAUUUUAUCCAAGGGAAUGCUUAAAUGCAGAGUAAGACUGUAGUUAAUUAUGUGAUAAAUAAGUAAAGACCGAUAAUUUUGGCCAGCUGUGGAGAAAUCGUACAUGAGCCGUUUGGGUGACGAAAGAGUCGACUCUCAUUGAUCCGAGUCGACUCUCAUUGUUGAGCUGAGCCGAUUGCUCCGAGUCAUUAAAAUGUGAUAUAGCGGUAGUGGACUGUUUCUGGCGUAUUCUAUAUCGCUGCAGUGGACCAAUGAAAAACAAGCUUGUUAGCACACAGACUGUUGCCAUGGAAAUGAUUCGCCAAAACCACAACAAACCGUUGAUGGAGGUGACUUCAAGAAUGGAUUUAUGCUUGCUAGUUACGUUAGAAGUAGUUAGAAAAACAGCGACAACGCUAAAUUACAUUCAGCUCGAGCUAGUUGUAUUGUAAGAGUGUUAUUUAUGAAUAAAAGCAACGUGAAUAUGUUUUAAUAAUAAGGGAUAGUCACACUACGAACAGUAUAGUAGCUAGCAAGAGUUAACGUUAGCUAACCUGUAGCCUAUAUUAAGCCAGGAUUGAGAGAACUGCUAGCUGAUCAUAACAUAACCAUCUCUUUAACUAAAAACAACAACAAAACAAUUAAGCUCUCCUAAUAAAAUGUUUUAAAAGUGAGUGACUCAAGGACCUAAAAGCAUAAUUAUUUAGGUGAUCAGAUUAAUCAGACUGCCUGACAAAAUGGACAUACAGAGGACAGUGGGUUAAUGAACUUUGCUAGAAAAAUAGACCUUUUAAGGUAUUUAUAAAGACAUGGAAGCAUACGAGCAAAUUCUUGAACUCGGCAGAGGAGGAGCAGGUGUUGUCUUGCUGAUGAGACACAAGGAAACAAAGAAGCUCUAUGCUGUGAAGAAAAUAGAAGUCGACGAGUCUCGAAAAACAAAGUCAAGAGACAGCGUACUGCAAGAGGCUGAAAUUCUGAGGAAUCUGAGACACCCUCAUAUUGUGACAUGGAGCAACACUUUCUUUGAUCCAACAAAAGGGCACAUCUGCAUUGCUAUGGAUUACUGUGAUGGUGGGACGCUGGAUGACCAGAUUAAAGGCAGAAAGGCAGCAGAAUAUUUCUCAGAGACUACGGUUAUGAAAUGGUUUGUGCAGAUUGUCAUGGCGGUCAGUUAUAUUCAUUCUGUAAGAAUUCUGCACAGAGAUAUUAAGCCCUCCAAUGUACUACUAACAAAGAGGGGGAUGAUUAAGUUGGGAGAUUUUGGAAUAUCAAAGAUCAUGAACCACACACUGGACAUGGCCUCCACAUGUGUUGGGACACCCAGUUACCUCAGCCCUGAGCUGUGCCAGGAGGUUCCAUACAGCACCAAAUCUGACAUAUGGGCCCUUGGCUGCUUACUGUAUGAGCUCUGUGCACUAAAACCAGCUUUUCUUGCUAAGAAUCUACUGAGUUUGUUUUAUAAGAUCAUAAAGGGUGAAUACAGUCAGAUGCCUGCUGGCUACACAGAAAACCUGCACACACUGAUCGAGAAGAUGCUGUGCUUGCUUCCUGAGAAUAGACCAAGUGCUAGCUGCAUCCUGGCUAUGUCCUGUGUGCAGGAACAUCUGGAACUGUUUAUUCAGCAUCAGGAGACCGAAUUGACAAAGGUUAAUGCUGAUCCUGUUCCUGCUGAGAGUGAAGACGUCACAUUAACCUGCAAUGACACUGUUAGUUUUGAAGUGCCUGAUCUGCAUCAAGUUGAGAAUAUGGAAAAAAAUGCUCAAGCACCUGUUAUUACAGACGACGAGGUGACACAAGCUGGGACUGAGUCCGAAUAUUCAGAAGACUUUGAUGAAAAUGACAGCGUGUCGUCCAUUGAAGAUUAUUCAAAGAAGAAUUCAUCCUCCUCUAGUUUAGAGCAUGGAGGAGUUGCAGAAGAGCUGCAUGAUGUGGAUGCGACUGAGUACCCAGAUGACUUUGAGGAUGAGGAUGAAUUGGCUGAAGUGGUGAGCUGCGCUCGAAAUGCCAUGCAGACUCUUUCAGGAGGUGAUUCUCUUGUGCUGAAAGACAGCGAUGGUCCAUCGAUGACUGUGAGAACUCUGAGAGAGAAGUACAUUGAGGAUGUUGGUCCUUUAUUUUAUGAGGAGAUCAGUGAACAUUUUAUGAAAGGCCUGAAACCAGAGGACCUUCAGCCACAGUUCCAGCAUAUGGUUACGGUCUCUUGGGAUGAGAAAGGGCGAAGCAUCAUCCGAGAACUGGUUCAGGCUUGGUUCAUGGAGCCUUGAAAAACCUCCAUAAGACUUCUAGAACAUCCACUAUGCUUUGUUCAUCCUUCAUGUGAGCACAGCAGGGAGGAAGCAAAGGUAGCACAAACGCCGGCUGGUGUGAAACUGUUUCCACAAGCCAUCUCAGCACUAUCCAUCCUGGCCUAUGACACCUGCAAGCUGGUCAAUAUUUCAUCCAUAGUGGCGUUAAUGACUGUGAAAGCCUGUUACUUGUGUUUUGAAAGCAGUGUGCUAAAUGUGACGUGCCACUGACUGAUUGCUGCAUGAGUGCUCAAAACUUCCGUGACAAAUGUUUCCUCCAUCAGGUUUCAUCACUUACACUCAUUCAGACCUUCUCACUCUGGAGCUCAGACUCCAUAAGAACUCAGUGCUGAAACACUGUGCCUUUCACCAAUAGACAAUAUUGGCUGUACUUAUAACUGGCCACUGCACUUAUGGAUUGUUUCUGUCUGGUAUUAUUCUUAGGUAUGAAAUAUUGAUGGAGAUGGUCCAGAGUGAAAGCAGGUGGACUCUAAAACAUUUCUCUUUAGACAAGUGAGGUGGAAGACAGUGAUAUUAGCCUGCACUCUAAUCUGCCCUCACUGCCUGCCUGCGAUUAAAAAAAAGGCUCAAUGGACAUCAUCGUUUCUGCCCAAUACCAAGAGCAGACAGAGGGAAGCCAGAACACCAGGGCUUGCACAGGAGUCUGAAUCCAACAAGUCUCAUAACAGUUUACAACAGUGAACUUCAAGAAACAAGAGUGUUCAAGACAUGAAGUACUUGAGUGUUAAUAAUCCAGUUUGGCAACUCUCCAGGUAAAUGAUCUGUGUGACAUUAUGAACUCUGUGGCAUUUGUAAGUAACCUUUCUGAGUCACUUGAAAUGCACUGUGAAACUCUUUUUAGGGUGACCUGACAUUUGAAAGCUGUUAUGAAGCUCCGUGGAGGCAAGCAGUGUUUUCCUCAAGAGUGUGUCACCAAAACAAAAGCGCCUCACCAGUAGAGAGUAAAACUGCUGUCUCACGUCAACAUAUUAAUGAUGUUAAUUAAGAAUAUAAUUAAGACUCACUAACUGAUUCCUUGACAAAGUGGAAGAACGUCCUCUUCCUGGAUUAUAGCUCAAAUCCUGAAGCCUGAUGUAAACACUAAAACAAAAGUAUUAAAGCAAUAAAAGACUAAGAAUUCAUGAGUCAAACUUACUAUAAGUUUUAGCUCACAUUUCCUGACAAUUUGUUAUCCAUCUGGUUAAAAGGAUAAAGAACAUGACAGGGUGUGCUGUCAUGUCAGAAAAAUAAUCAACGACGGGGUGGUGUGAUGAGAAGCAAAUUUACAACAGUUACCACACAGGAGCAUGUCCUGAAGUGUUUUAUUCCUCUUAUGGUUAGCACAUUUCCCAUGCACCUCCGGGGUUUUCCCCAUCGGGGGUUUCCCCUGGGUACUCCUGUUUCCUCCCCUAGUCCAAAGACUAUCGUGUAGGCUGAUUGGCAUCUCUAAAUUGUCUGUAGUGUGUGAAUGUGUGUGUGAUUGUGCCCUGCAAUGGGUUGGCACCCCAUCCAAGGUGUCCCCCUGCCUCAUGCCCUGAGUUCCCUGGGAUAGGCUCCAGGCUCCCUGCAACCCUGUGUAGGAUAAGUGGUACAAAAAAUGGUUGGAUGUACUUUUUAAUAGUUCAAUUUAUUUGUAGUUCAAUUUAUUGUUGUGGAAUGUCGUUGAAACAAGUUAGUUCUUUUUAUCACUUACUAUAUUUUAUAGCAGCUAUAAACAGUCAUUCCCUAGCCAGCCUCUCUUUUCUUUGUCUUGAAGUUAACGAGACAAAAGCAUCUUUAAUCUCCUUACAGAAUGUUUUGCGAUAUGAAUGAUUAUAUGUUUUUCUUUGUUAAAUGACAACACAUUUAGACUAUGUUCAUCAUCCACCAGACAUGGCACUGUGAAUGAGUUGUUAAUAUAGAAAUGACAAUGUAUUAUAACAAACACAUUAACAUAAAUAUGUGAUUUAUAUUACAGCUAGGUGUUACUGUCAGAACUGCUGUUAUAGAAAAUGAAUCAACACUUCCUGGCUAAUCAGAAUGAAGAAUUCAACAGUGCUCUGGUCUAAACAAUGUUAACCACACCACGCAAAGUGAAUUCCAUUCAUGUAGAAAUAUUAGAAAUAGAAAUGCUCAAAAUUUCAACAAUCAAGCCCCCAGAAAGGAUUACUUCUUUUACUGUGGAUUGAAAAGAUAUCUUGAUUUUUUUCUAUUCACCCAGAACCUUUUAAUAUAGCAAAGGCAUAACUAGACAGUGAAAUAUUAUAGUUUUUAUUAUGCUAUCAUUUUAAUGAGCCCUUGUUCAUUCAGAGGCGAACUGAGACAUUUUGGUAAAUGGGAAGAGGGGGAAAUGUCCAGAAGGCGAAAGUAAUAAAAGUUCAUUAUGGCCUGUUGGGAAUUUUACUCUUCUCGAAAAACAAUGGAUGAUGAUGGCAGACAUCUUUCAUGUGCUGUGGAGCGAAAUGUUAAUAACCUUUUCAGAUUUACAACACAAGUGGGGCUUUUACUCUUAAUCAUGGCUGGAGGGAGAUGUCAGACAGGCACGGUUAACAAAUAACCUUUUACACCAUGGUGCAGGUCAGCAUCUCUCCUGCUUCCAUUCUGAUUUGCUCAACUGUUAACAAGCAUUACAGCUGCAGAAACUGUACUUAAAGUGCACUGUCAAUACAACUCUGCUGAAAAUCCGAAUUACAUGAUUGGCCGUGUGAAACACAUCUCGUGGUGCCUGUAUGCGUCUGUGUAUCUUUGUACAGGAGAGCAUUUGCUGUUGCGUGGAAUUUAUUUCAGCUGACACUAAAGGUGUGACUUUUCUGUUUCCUGUUUUAAGAACAGGAGGCCAGUGCUCUCAAAGAGAGAACCCAUACACAAAACACACACGGACGUCACGUGAAUAUUCACCACUCACAUUUGAAUUUUACAUGUUUACACAUGUAAAAUACAGUUGACACAUUUCACACAUUUCAUACAUUUUUCACGCAAUGAAUUUCAUGUAGUUUUUGCAUGUGUUUUUAUUUUUCACAUUAUUUUUUUUUCCCAUAUGAUUAUUUUCAUGUUUUUUUCCACAAUGUAUUUAUUUUUAAAAAAUUAACAUUGUUAUUUUUCUCACGAUUCAUUUAUUUUCACGAGAUUAAUUUUUUUUUCACAUCCUUUCAUCCAUUUUCCAAACUGCUUAUCCUACACAGAGUGACAGGGAGCCUGGAGCCUAUCACAGGGAACUCAGCGCACAGGCUGGGGGACAACCUAGAUGGGGGGCCAACCCAUCACGGGCAUAAUCACACACAUAUUCACACUAUAGACAAUUUGGAAAUGCCUAAAACGCAUGUGGACUGGGGGAGGAAAUUAGAGUACUUGGAGGAAACCCCGAAGCACAGGGAGAACAUGCAAGCUCCACAUACACAGGGUGGAGGCAGGAUUCGAACCCACAGCCUUGGAGGUGUGAGGCAAAUGUGCUUUUUCACAUGUAAUUUAUUAUUCAUUUAAUUCAUUCAUUCAUUUCUUUGAAUUAUUUCCUGAAAAAUCUCAUGUGAAUGUGAAUGAACCAUGAGUAAAGAAACGUGAAGUAUACAUGAAGUAUCAGGCAAUCAAUACACUAGAGACGUUAUGCUUCGAAGUGUGUGUCGAGAAUGCGGGUUGCUUUGAGUCUAUACACAUCCUCUAUGACAAUUUAAAGACGUGCUAUCAAUGUACAGUUGAAGCACAUUCAUCUUUUUUAGAUUUGAAUGUAGAGGCAUCAUUGAUUACAUCAAUGACCUAUAAAAGCAAUUAUAGGCAUUAUAGGCUCCUUCAGAAUACAGAAAGAUAUCUCUGUCCACAUAUAUUAUUUAAAACUCAUGUCUA
Molecule: RNA transcript, 6335 nt
Organism: Ictalurus furcatus (blue catfish)
Lineage: Eukaryota; Metazoa; Chordata; Actinopteri; Siluriformes; Ictaluridae
Gene: nek12
Gene name: NIMA-related kinase 12
Exons: 6
Source: RefSeq, a predicted model, not a curated record